RNAcentral lists this ribosomal RNA (491 nucleotides) under uncultured bacterium. Its description in RNAcentral is "partial 16S ribosomal RNA". It matches the Rfam family "Bacterial small subunit ribosomal RNA", at positions 29 to 507 of the family's 1533-position model. The record is from RNAcentral.
GUGAACGCUGGCGGUAGACCUAACACAUGCAAGUCGAACGGCAGCACAGUAAGAGCUUGCUCUUACGGGUGGCGAGUGGCGGACGGGUGAGGAAUACAUCGGAAUCUACUUUUUCGUGGGGGAUAACGUGGGGAAACUUACGCUAAUACCGCAUACGACCUACGGGUGAAAGCAGGGGAUCUUCGGACCUUGCGCGAUUGAAUGAGCCGAUGUCGGAUUAGCUAGUUGGCGGGGUAAAGGCCCACCAAGGCGACGAUCCGUAGCUGGUCUGAGAGGAUGAUCAGCCACACUGGAACUGAGACACGGUCCAGACUCCUACGGGAGGCAGCAGUGGGGAAUAUUGGACAAUGGGCGCAAGCCUGAUCCAGCCAUACCGCGUGGGUGAAGAAGGCCUUCGGGUUGUAAAGCCCUUUUGUUGGGAAAGAAAAGCAGCAGGUUAAUACCCCGCUGUUCUGACGGUACCCAAAGAAUAAGCACCGGCUAACUUCGUG